Orbicella faveolata is the source of this 3366-nucleotide long non-coding RNA. NCBI's taxonomy places the organism in Eukaryota, Metazoa, Cnidaria, Anthozoa, Scleractinia, Merulinidae. The record is from RefSeq and is a predicted model, not a curated record.
AUACCCUCCCCAUAAAAGGCUGUUUGGUUUGACCCCCACCCCUUCUUACCCCUCUGGAAAUUCAAGUUUAGCUUUAAAAUGUUUGGCUUUUGAGAUGGCUGACCUCCUCGGAAUGUUCUAUGACCUUCCAGGGGAAAUUUCAUAUCCAUCACACUUAAUGUUACUUAUUUUACUGGCAGGUGGGAUGAUUGUAUCCAAGUGGUGAGACUGCAUCACCUCUGUCAUCCAAAAAGCACGAUAGCGGAACAGGCUCACCGUAAUAACUUGAAAGGCUUUUUUAUGGUUCGGGCCUACAUCAGAAGACAUGGUUCACCAGGAUUAUUGGAAAAAUUAGAAGAUUACAUGCUACAAGCAAAUAGGGUGAAAGAUGUAGAAAAGUCAUGAAAGUCUGUCAAUUAAAGGCAACAUUUACAAAAAUAACCAUGAAUUCAAUAUCUGGUGUUUUAUUAAUUUCAUUUGUUGCAAAGCCUGCUUCAAUAAUGGACCAUAGAAUGCUCAAAAGUGAGUUUACCACAAAGUUCUCAAUAUUUUUCUGACAUCAUUUAUAUGGUCUCCAAAGAGGAAAGACCAUGGGAAAACGUGGUUGGUUUCUCUUAUAUAUGUUUACAAAGAAAUUAAAAGUUUGCUGAAUUAAAGGGAAAAUCUGAGUGAAUUCUAAAUGACCUACUUGAAGCCUACAAAUGCCUUGGAGAUUACUUCAAUGCUGUUACAAGAAGCGUGAGAUAAGUAAAUUCACGUACAAAGCACUUUUUUUCAGCCUUGAGUUUUAUUGAUAGAAUGGCCUAACUAACCUGAGUGCAGUCAUGCAGUAUUUACACAUCAUGAAAGUGUGCUAUAACAAGAACAGCAAAUCAGAACAUUUACAUCAAAUAAGAGUGUUGUCAUCUGAAUGCAAUAAAUGAAGUAAUAAUAUUUAUUUUAUCUCUUUUUUCAUAAACCCCUGUAAGACUUGCAUCCUUUCCUCAGUAAGACCCCAAAACAGCACUCUGUGAUCAGACACAAUAUUUUCCACUUUCAAUUGUUCCUUUUUUGCCCAGUGUAAAGUAAAGUAAGCAUUCUAAUAGGUACAAAAUUGUCAUAAAACCUACAAAUGCUAGGAUUAAAGUUCCUUUGCAGCCAUAGUGGGCUGCCAGUGAGUGCUUCAAUUGUGCAUUGAUUGAUUGAUAAUGUUGAUCCAAGUAAAAGCUGUUAAGGAGACUAUGGUUGUCUUGACUCCAGAAGGCAAACCUACAGGUAUAAAUUUUUUCAUAACUUCACACAGAGCUGCCUCAACAGAACUGUCUGGACACUUGCCAAAAGAACUAAUAACAUUUUACUGACAAAUGCAUGAAAUUGGUUAUCAUGCUCUUCUGUCAUGUCAAAUGAAAAAAAGGCAAGGCUCACCAUUCUUUGCCAAACAGAAAUACUUGGGUUAAAUAUACACUGACAAUUAUUAGUAAAAAACUGUAACAGAAUGAUCAGUUUUUGAUACCAUGCAGAAAGAGAUAAUGCCAUAACUUAGUUUCCUUGGCAAAAGCCUCUAAUCAUAUUUUUCCCCUAAGUUAAAAGCUCAUCACAGUGCCUUGUCAGAAUUAACAUUUUCAUAUUUAAGAAUAAACCAAGAAGUUCUACAUGACCAGCAUAUACAGUCACAUCUUGAUUUCCAUCUUAUUUUAUUAUCCAGACUUUCCAAAUGGCAUCAGGACUUUUUAUGUGGUCCUGAAUACCACAGUUCCCCUUCUCUCCUGUAUUUGAUUACACAGACUCUUGCUUUUCCAGACUUUUUUUCAAGUCCUUACUAGUCCAAGCCUAUGUUUUGAAGGUGCAACUGUAUUCAAACUGGUCAUAAACUUUCUCCAAACAAGCAGCACAACCACAAAGUACUGGUAAGUUACUGAUUUUGCUGCAGUUUAAAGAAAGACUCAUUGAUAUAAUUUUGUGGGAGUAAAUACCAAAAUAAAUCAUUUGGUUUGAAUGAAACAAAUAAAUAAAUCAAAUAAGAUGUUACUACAAUAGAUAUAUUAACUGUGCAAAACUGAUUUUCAGAAUAAAGUACUCCAAACUGAUUUAUAUAUUCAAAUAACAUUAUAAAUAAUUGCAGCAAAUAUUAACAUAAUGUGCUACAAUGCGACAUCUGUGCCUCUAGCAAGAAUUAACAUGUGCUAUAACAAAAAGAGGCUAGAACUUACAUGUAGAUAGCUGGUCGCUUUGUUCAGCUGUAAUAUCUGAACAAAAUUUCAAUCCUUAAAACAAAUUGUAUCAAAUGUGCCUUAAAUGCGACCAUCCUAUUAACUGACCAUGGAGCAUGGUUCAAUGUAACUUUUGUCAAAACUAGCUAUUGUACAGAAUAAAUGAAUGACUGCUAACAGUAACAUAACAACUAUUUUAUGUAAUAUGUAACUUUGCUGAAUUACCAGCUGGCCCAACCAUUAAUGAUUAUAAGCUACGAGCCUGGUAGAGACGAACAAAACUCAUCACUGACUAAGUAAGCUUUGCAUUUCAGUGAGAAUUGAAUAUAUUGACAACAAAUCACAAAUUCAAUAAUAAUUAUAAAGCUAAUCAGCUUAGCUAACAGGUCAACCCAGCGUGGGCUCAGUCCAAUUUCUUGGAAAUUAUGCCAAGGUUGCUUUUUACCCAAAACAGAUUCAAUACUGGAAACUCUCCAUCUACAGUGCUGUUAAUUAAAAUGGUUUAACUUGUCACAAUCACUGGAUGCUUUCAUUAUGCCAGAACGACUGGUCAGAGACCAGAGGGCUACCCAAGGAAAAAUGGAAUGACAUUUUCUGAUCAAACAUUUUUUUUCCUUUUCAAAAUUCCCUACAUAACUGAAAUCUACUGAAGAGAAGUAGGGCAAUGAACCUCUUUGUCAAAAUGGAAUGGCAAACUUCGGUUGGACCGGCAACUUUUCUGACACCUCUAGCUUAAAACUCCUAAAGACUAAAGGAUCGAUAGGCCACGCUUUCAUGGUUUGUAUUCAUACUGAAAAUCAAAAUCAAGUGAGCUAAAUAUUCCGGUUGGAAUGAGCUGAAACAGAUCUUUCCAUUUGACUUCUGACCGAAAUUUCCAGAAUCUUUGGCAUAAUGGAAAGCACACACUGACAAGACAAAAAAUCUAGAACUAAACAAUGGUGACUGCCCAUUUGCACACAGCAAAAUAUAAUCUAUGUUGUAAUAUUAUCAUUCAUUUGAAUGUACACUUCAUUUCACCUAUGUGAUGCAAAUAAUCAUUGCAUUUACUACUCUAAUAUAAUCAAAAUACAAUUUUCAAGAUAAAACAACUAUGUCAAUCAGCAAUUGUUAGUCGUGGGCAAUUUUGUCACAAAUAAGAUGACUGAAUUUAUCCCUUAUGCUUGUAAAUUAAUAAUCAAGCUACAUAAAAAAAAAAAAA